RNAcentral lists this ribosomal RNA (292 nucleotides) under uncultured bacterium. RNAcentral describes it as "partial 16S ribosomal RNA". It matches the Rfam family "Bacterial small subunit ribosomal RNA", at positions 505 to 796 of the family's 1533-position model. The record is from RNAcentral.
GUGUCAGCAGCCGCGGUAAUACAGAGGGUGCGAGCGUUGUUCGGAAUUAUUGGGCGUAAAGCGCUUGUAGGCGGCUUGUUAAGUUCCGUGUGAAAUCCCCAGGCUUAACCUGGGAAGUGCGCGGAAAACUGGCGAGCUUGAGUGCCGGAGAGGGUCGCGGAAUUCCCGGUGUAGAGGUGAAAUUCGUAGAUAUCGGGAGGAACACCAGUGGCGAAGGCGGCGACCUGGACGGACACUGACGCUGAGACGCGAAAGCGUGGGGAGCAAACAGGAUUAGAAACCCCGGUAGUCC